Molecule: ribosomal RNA, 1373 nt
Filed under: uncultured bacterium
Lineage: Bacteria
Description: bacterial SSU rRNA
Rfam family: Bacterial small subunit ribosomal RNA
Source: RNAcentral
GAGUUUGAUCCUGGCUCAGAUUGAACGCUGGCGGCAUGCUUUACACAUGCAAGUCGAACGGGGUGGAGGGGCAACUCUCCAUUCAGUGGCGAACGGGUGAGUAAUGCAUCGGAACGUGUCCCGUAGUGGGGGAUAACGCCGCGAAAGCGGCGCUAAUACCGCAUAUGCUCUACGGAGGAAAGCAGGGGACCGCAAGGCCUUGUGCUAUGGGAGCGGCCGAUGUCCGAUUAGCUAGUUGGUGAGGUAAUGGCUCACCAAGGCGACGAUCGGUAGCUGGUCUGAGAGGAUGAUCAGCCACACUGGGACUGAGACACGGCCCAGACUCCUACGGGAGGCAGCAGUGGGGAAUCUUGCGCAAUGGGCGAAAGCCUGACGCAGCGACGCCGCGUGGGGGAUGAAGCUUCUCGGAGUGUAAACCCCUUUCGACCCGGACGAAUACCUCGCAAGAGGGGUGACGGUACGGGUAUAAGAAGCCCCGGCUAACUACGUGCCAGCAGCCGCGGUAAGACGUAGGAGGCCAGCGUUGUUCGGAAUUACUGGGUGUAAAGGGUUCGUAGGCGGUGUGGCAAGUCGGGAGUGAAAUCUAUGGGCUUAACCCAUAGGCUGCUUCCGAAACUGCCGUGCUUGAGUGUGGGAGAGGCGCGUGGAAUUGCAGGUGUAGCGGUGAAAUGCGUAGAUAUCUGCAGGAACACCCGUGGCGAAAGCGGCGCGCUGGACCACUACUGACGCUGAGGAACGAAAGCUAGGGGAGCGAACAGGAUUAGAUACCCUGGUAGUCCUAGCCCUAAACGAUCAGGACUUGGGGUGCCACCCGUUCGGGUGUCGUCCCGGAGCUAACGCGUUAAGUCCUGCACCUGGGGAGUACGGUCGCAAGACUGAAACUCAAAGGAAUUGACGGGGGCCCGCACAAGCGGUGGAACAUGUGGUUCAAUUCGACGCUACGCGAGGAACCUUACCUGGGCUCGAAAUGCUGGUGACCAGCUGUAGAAAUACGGCCUUCCCGCAAGGGACACCAGUAUAGGCGCUGCAUGGCUGUCGUCAGCUCGUGCCGUGAGGUGUUGGGUUAAGUCCCGCAACGAGCGCAACCCCUGCACGUAGUUGCCACUCCGCAAGGAGGGAACUCUACGUGGACUGCUCCGGAUAACGGAGAGGAAGGUGGGGAUGACGUCAAGUCCGCAUGCCCUUUAUGUCCAGGGCUACACACGUGUUACAAUGCAGGGUACAAACCGUUGCCAACCCGCGAGGGGGAGCUAAUCGGAAAAAACCCUGCUCAGUUCGGAUUGCAGUCUGCAACUCGACUGCAUGAAGCCGGAAUCGCUAGUAAUGGCGUAUCAGAUCGACGCCGUGAAUACGUUCCCGGGCCUUGUACACAC